RNAcentral lists this ribosomal RNA (253 nucleotides) under uncultured bacterium. RNAcentral describes it as "partial 16S ribosomal RNA". It matches the Rfam family "Bacterial small subunit ribosomal RNA", at positions 524 to 776 of the family's 1533-position model. The record is from RNAcentral.
UACGAAGGGGGCUAGCGUUGCUCGGAAUGACUGGGCGUAAAGGGCGCGUAGGCGGUGAACACAGUUAGGCGUGAAAUUCCCGGGCUCAACCUGGGGGCUGCGUUUAAUACAUGUUCGCUUGAGUUCGGAAGAGGGUCGUGGAAUUCCCAGUGUAGAGGUGAAAUGCGCAGAUAUCGGGAAGAACACCCGUGGCGAAGGCGGCCAUCUGGACGGCAAUUGACGCUGAGACGCGAAAGCGUGGGUAGCAAACAGG